Phasianus colchicus (ring-necked pheasant) is the source of this 742-nucleotide long non-coding RNA. RefSeq lists it as uncharacterized. Lineage: Eukaryota; Metazoa; Chordata; Aves; Galliformes; Phasianidae. The record is from RefSeq and is a predicted model, not a curated record.
UUCAAAGGGAUUAGGACAACCUGAACAUCAAUAAAGCAGCUGCUGCGUUAGUGGAGAUGUGCUUCAUAGCACCACUGCAAUCCAAUGAAGGAAGCCCAUCAGCUUCCUUGGUGCCUGGCACUGAGUGACGCAAGGAGCUGCUGCUGGGAGACAUGCAGGUGCAGCCAAGAGCCAGAAAUGGCUUUUGCAGUGAAAUACAAGAAGUAUUUGCUAGCAUACCUUCAUUCUGUGGCUAUGCAGUGCACUCAAUUGGGGCACUAAAACUUGCAUGUAAGAACAUAUGAGGACAAACAGACACCACCUUUCCUCCUCCAAAAUAAUGUCACCUCUGGGAAAACAUGAAGAAACCUGGAAAAUAAACAACUGAUCGGGGAUACAGAAGAGAUCUAUGUCCAUGAAUAGCAGGGAGUAGGACAAUACUGAAUUAGCUCUUCCUUUAGAAUACUGGCCACAUAUUAAAUACAAGUGGUAGCUACAAAAUUCAAAUCAGAAGAGACCCUCCAUGCAAGAAAACUUAAUUGAAAACUGGGGUGUUGUUACAGGAGUUUGUGGGAACACAAAGUUUAAGCUGUUUCAAAAUAGAAUUGGAGAAAGUCCAAUCUGAGGGCUACUCCCCAGCAAGAAAGUCCUCAACAUCCAGUGGAUAAGGCAACCAGGGAAUUUAACCAUAAACUGCUCUUUCCUUUUGCUACUGAUCAUAACCAAAGACUGAAUAAUAUAAUAAAAGGACCUUUGGGCUGAA